This 69-nucleotide transfer RNA is filed under the name Marmota monax (woodchuck). Its description in RNAcentral is "tRNA.Ala". The record is from RNAcentral. Lineage: Eukaryota; Metazoa; Chordata; Mammalia; Rodentia; Sciuridae.
GGAGCUGUGUCUCAGUGUUAGAGCGUUUUCCUAGCAUGUAUGAGGUACUGAGUUUGAUCCUCAGCACCA